CCCGAGCGUUGUCCGGAUUUAUUGGGCGUAAAGCGAGCGCAGGCGGUUAGAUAAGUCUGAAGUUAAAGGCUGUGGCUUAACCAUAGUACGCUUUGGAAACUGUUUAACUUGAGUGCAAGAGGGGAGAGUGGAAUUCCAUGUGUAGCGGUGAAAUGCGUAGAUAUAUGGAGGAACACCAGUGGCGAAAGCGGCUCUCUGGCUUGUAACUGACGCUGAGGCUCGAAAGCGUGGGGAGCAAACAGGAUUAGAUACCCUGGUAGUCCACGCCGUAAACGAUGAGUGCUAGGUGUUAGACCCUUUCCGGGGUUUAGUGCCGCAGCUAACGCAUUAAGCACUCCGCCUGGGGAGUACGACCGCAAGGUUGAAACUCAAAGGAAUUGACGGGGGCCCGCACAAGCGGUGGAGCAUG
RNAcentral lists this ribosomal RNA (409 nucleotides) under uncultured bacterium. RNAcentral describes it as "bacterial SSU rRNA". It matches the Rfam family "Bacterial small subunit ribosomal RNA", at positions 533 to 941 of the family's 1533-position model. The record is from RNAcentral.